GCUGGGACCAACUGGGACCAGUUGCGUGGUCAAACGAAGUGUGUUUUGUCCGCUCUUGCCAGCUUCCUAGAGUAAAGGGGAGGUCUCUGUCUGCUUUGGGAGAGGCAACCGAAGUAGAUCGUUCCCCUCCACACACG
This 137-nucleotide small nucleolar RNA is filed under the name Tinamus guttatus (white-throated tinamou). Its description in RNAcentral is "Small Cajal body specific RNA 3". It matches the Rfam family "Small Cajal body specific RNA 3". Rfam says of the family: scaRNAs are a specific class of small nuclear RNAs which localise to the Cajal bodies and guide the modification of RNA polymerase II transcribed spliceosomal RNAs U1, U2, U4, U5 and U12. Lineage: Eukaryota; Metazoa; Chordata; Aves; Tinamiformes; Tinamidae. The record is from Rfam by way of RNAcentral.